RNAcentral lists this long non-coding RNA (1008 nucleotides) under Oryctolagus cuniculus (rabbit). Its description in RNAcentral is "lncRNA (ENSOCUG00000030440.1)". The record is from RNAcentral. Lineage: Eukaryota; Metazoa; Chordata; Mammalia; Lagomorpha; Leporidae.
AUGCCAAAGCCGCUGCCUCACAUAGCAGCAAACACACACGCACCCUGCUCCCCCGUCUCAGGUGUUACUACUCCACGUGCAGCCCAGAACACACUCCUCUCCCAGGCAGCUCAGGGUCUUGUUCAGCAAAGCCCAGUGGUGAUGAUGGCCACUCUUCUCCAGAGUCCACCAUCCCUGAUGAUAACCGUCCUCUUUUGUGAGGUUCUACAACCUGUGCGUUACUGGGGAAAGUGGACUGUAGUCAACCAAAACGAUGGAGUGAGCCGGGGAGGAAGCGCUGGUCCUGGGCCCUCAUUUGUGACCAGAGAUCUGGGGCUUGUGGGAGGUGUCCAGCCCCAGAGUGCGCCCGGGUGCCAGGCACUCAGUCCCGGACAUGGACAUUCCAGGAGCCACUCCCGGAAUGCCCGCCUGCCCGUCUCUGGUCCCGCCCCCUUCACACAGCAACAGGCAUUCCUCUGGGCAGAUUCUUCACCCCAGCUGCUCCCCGUCCUGUUCUCCGUCGCUCAGGGGUACGAGGUGGCCGCCUGGGCUGCCAAGUCAGGUGAACCGUCACUGUGUCUUCAUGAGGACUCUUCCUUGGGGCCUAAAACCUCACCACCCCCCUGGCCCCAGACCUCCGGUGUGAGAAAGGCAGUGAGGCACGGUGACGGGACAUCGGUCUCCGCACUGCCUCCCAGCCCUGCAGGGCGAAGGUGCCAUGGGUCGGCUGCCAGUUCCGAGCUUGCUCCGCCUUCUGCAGCUCGGCGCCAGCCUCUUAAUGGUGUUUCAGGGCUGCCUCUGGGACUCCCGACCAGGGGAGGGCAUGCCCUACACAUCGGCCCGCUGCCGCCCUCCCUCACUGUCUGCAGGAGCUUGGUCCCAGGACCCCCCACCCCCGAGGAUGUCAAACCCGCAGAUGCUGUGCUGCGUAGGAACCGCACACAGCCCCCUGCAGACGUUCAGCCGUCUCUGGCUGACGGUUCCCGACACAGCCUAAGUACCAUAGGGAUGGCCGCUCUGUCGUGUUAG